This 459-nucleotide ribosomal RNA is filed under the name uncultured bacterium. RNAcentral's name for it is "partial 16S ribosomal RNA". It matches the Rfam family "Bacterial small subunit ribosomal RNA", at positions 338 to 795 of the family's 1533-position model. The record is from RNAcentral.
CCUACGGGUGGCUGCAGUGAGGAAUAUUGGUCAAUGGCCGGAAGGCUGAACCAGCGAAGUCGCGUGAGGGACGACUGCCCUAUGGGUUGUAAACCUCUUUUAUAAGGGAAGAAUAAAUUCUACGUGUAGCAUGAUGCCUGUACCUUAUGAAUAAGCAUAGGCUAACUCCGUGCCAGCAGCCGCGGUAAUACGGAGGAGUCGAGCGUUGUCCGGAUUUAUGGGGGUAAAAGGGUGCGUUGGCGGUUUUUUAAGUUAGUGGUUAAACGUCGGGGCUUCACCUUGAUUUGCCAUUAAUACUGUAAGACUCGAGUUCAGACGAGGUAGGCGGAAUAAGUUAAGUAGCGGUGAAAUGCUUAGAUAUAACUUAGAACUCCGAUAGCGAAGGCAGCUUACCAGACUGCGACUGACGCUGAAGCACGAGAGCGUGGGUAGCGAACAGGAUUAGAUACCCGGGUAGUC